This 495-nucleotide ribosomal RNA is filed under the name uncultured bacterium. Its description in RNAcentral is "partial 16S ribosomal RNA". It matches the Rfam family "Bacterial small subunit ribosomal RNA", at positions 28 to 505 of the family's 1533-position model. The record is from RNAcentral.
GAUGAACGCUGGCGGCGUGCCUAAUACAUGCAAGUCGAGCGAACAGACGAGGAGCUUGCUCCUCUGACGUUAGCGGCGGACGGGUGAGUAACACGUGGAUAACCUACCUAUAAGACUGGGAUAACUUCGGGAAACCGGAGCUAAUACCGGAUAACAUGUUGAACCGCAUGGUUCAACAGUGAAAGACGGUUUUGCUGUCACUUAUAGAUGGAUCCGCGCCGCAUUAGCUAGUUGGUAAGGUAACGGCUUACCAAGGCAACGAUGCGUAGCCGACCUGAGAGGGUGAUCGGCCACACUGGAACUGAGACACGGUCCAGACUCCUACGGGAGGCAGCAGUAGGGAAUCUUCCGCAAUGGGCGAAAGCCUGACGGAGCAACGCCGCGUGAGUGAAGAAGGUCUUCGGAUCGUAAAACUCUGUUAUUAGGGAAGAACAAAUGUGUAAGUAACUAUGCACGUCUUGACGGUACCUAAUCAGAAAGCCACGGCUAACUACG